RNAcentral lists this ribosomal RNA (336 nucleotides) under uncultured Pseudomonas sp. RNAcentral's name for it is "bacterial SSU rRNA". It matches the Rfam family "Bacterial small subunit ribosomal RNA", at positions 1047 to 1382 of the family's 1533-position model. Lineage: Bacteria; Pseudomonadati; Pseudomonadota; Gammaproteobacteria; Pseudomonadales; Pseudomonadaceae. The record is from RNAcentral.
GGCUGUCGUCAGCUCGUGUCGUGAGAUGUUGGGUUAAGUCCGUAACGAGCGCAACCCUUGUCCUUAGUUACCAGCACGUUAUGGUGGGCACUCUAAGGAGACUGCCGGUGACAAACCGGAGGAAGGUGGGGAUGACGUCAAGUCAUCAUGGCCCUUACGGCCUGGGCUACACACGUGCUACAAUGGUCGGUACAAAGGGUUGCCAAGCCGCGAGGUGGAGCUAAUCCCAUAAAAACCGAUCGUAGUCCGGAUCGCAGUCUGCAACUCGACUGCGUGAAGUCGGAAUCGCUAGUAAUCGUGAAUCAGAAUGUCACGGUGAAUACGUUCCCGGGCCUU